RNAcentral lists this ribosomal RNA (1679 nucleotides) under Chaetothyriales sp. MP-2014. RNAcentral describes it as "eukaryotic LSU rRNA". The stretch from base 757 to 1679 matches the Rfam family "Eukaryotic large subunit ribosomal RNA", at positions 1 to 943 of the family's 3401-position model. Lineage: Eukaryota; Fungi; Ascomycota; Eurotiomycetes; Chaetothyriales. The record is from RNAcentral.
AUGGCUCAGUGAGGCCUUGGGAUUGGCCAGGGGAGAUGGGCAACCAUCACCCCAGGCCGAAAACUUGGUCAAACUUGGUCAUUUAGAGGAAGUAAAAGUCGUAACAAGGUUUCCGUAGGUGAACCUGCGGAAGGAUCAUUACCGAGUUAGGGCCCCGACCGCCGGGGUCCGACCUCCCAACCCUGUGUCUAUCUAAACCUGUACGUGUUGCUUUGGCCGACCGGUGGUUUCUCCCGUCUUCGGUCGGGGGGAUCCGCCGCCGGGGGGAAACUCAAUAGCCCCUUGGAGAGGGUCGGCCAAUGGCCUUAACCACAAACUCUUUGACCACAAACAUGAACUGAAUCAUAAUUUCUUUUGAUAUCCAUCAAAAAGCAAAAUAAACCAAAAACUUUCAACAACGGAUCUCUUGGUUCUGGCAUCGAUGAAGAACGCAGCGAAAUGCGAUAAGUAAUGCGAAUUGCAGAAUUUCCGUGAGUCAUCGAAUCUUUGAACGCACAUUGCGCCCUUUGGUAUUCCGAAGGGCAUGCCUGUUCGAGCGUCAUUAUCCUCUCCUCAAACCCACUCUGGGUUUGGUGUUGGACCGCGUUGGGGGCGUAUCGUCUCACCAACUGGUCUUAAAGACAGUAACGGCGUCUGUGGGACCCUCCUCGCACUGAGCUUUUCGGGGCACGCGUGGGAGUUGCAAGGUCCUAGGGGCACGGUCCGGCCCUCGUGUGUGGGAUACUCCCCACACGGGAAGCCUCUUUUUUCUCAGGUUGACCUCGGAUCAGGUAGGAAUACCCGCUGAACUUAAGCAUAUCAAUAAGCGGAGGAAAAGAAACCAACAGGGAUUGCCUCAGUAACGGCGAGUGAAGCGGCAACAGCUCAAAUUUGAAAUCUGGCCUCACGGUCCGAGUUGUAAUUUGUAGAGGAUGUUUUGGGCACCGCCUCGGGUUAAAUUUCUUGGAACAGAAUGUCAAAGAGGGUGAGAGUCCCGUCUUGGCCCGCGGUAGGACCUAUGUAAAACUCCUUCGACGAGUCGACUUGUUUGGGAAUGCAGGUCAAAAUGGGUGGUAAAUUUCAUCUAAAGCUAAAUAUUGGCCAGAGACCGAUAGCGCACAAGUAGAGUGAUCGAAAGAUGAAAAGCACUUUGAAAAGAGAGUUAAACAGUAUGUGAAAUUGUUGAAAGGGAAGCGCUGGCAACCAGACUCGAGCGCGGUGUUCCCCCUGGCUUCUGCCUGGGUUACUUCACCGUGACCGGGCCAUCAUCAGUUUUGGGGGCCGGUCAAAGGUCCGGGGAAUGUAUCCUCUCCUUCGGGGGAGGACUUAUAGCCCCGGGCGUCAUGCGGCCUCCCGGGACUGAGGAACGCGCUUCGGCGAGGAUGAUGGCGUAAUGGUUGUCAGCGACCCGUCUUGAAACACGGACCAAGGAGUCUAACAUCUAUGCAAGUGUUCGGGUGUCAAACCCUUGCGCGGAAUGAAAGUGAACGGAGGUAGGAAGGCCUGAGCCUGCACUAUCGACCGAUCCUGAUGUCUUCGGAUGGAUUUGAGUAAGAGCAUAGCUGUUGGGACCCGAAAGAUGGUGAACUAUGCGUGAAUAGGGUGAAGCCAGAGGAAACUCUGGUGGAGGCUCGCAGCGGUUCUGACGUGCAAAUCGAUCGUCAAAUUUGCGUAUAGGGGCGAAAGACUAAUCGAACCAU